GUGUUUUCUUUUUAUUGAGAAUAUUCUAAUGAUGAUAGUGUUGUUUCAGGCUCAUGUUGGAGAAGGCCUUGUAAUUGAUGAAUGGGAUAUGAUGAAACACAAGGGAUGCCUAUUGGGGGCCACAAGAAAUCUCUUUCCUUAAUUACAAGUCAGGAACUUGUCUUCCUUUCACAACUUGAUUUUAGCCAUUCCAUGGUGUUGAAAACUGUAGGUGUUGUGGAUGUGAAGCAAGCUGAUCCUUAGGGCGACAUCCUGAUAUGGGGACUUUCCAAAUGGGAGCAAAUGUGGGCAGAUUUCAAUGGCCUUGAUUUUUUAAUGUUAAUGAUUUGCUCUUUUAAUUUUUUUUUAUUGAUAAGGCUCCAACGACCUUGAUUCC
Long non-coding RNA from Rosa rugosa (rugosa rose), 376 nucleotides. RefSeq lists it as uncharacterized. The record is from RefSeq and is a predicted model, not a curated record. Lineage: Eukaryota; Viridiplantae; Streptophyta; Magnoliopsida; Rosales; Rosaceae. The transcript has 3 exons.